AGCGUACCGUGGAUACUGAGCCCAUGAACUAAAGCAAACCUUUGCUCCUCAAAGCUGCAGGUAUCAGGUAUUUUGUUGCAGAAACCUGACUAAUACAAAUAGAUUCCAGUGUUCAUCCACAAAUGAAAUCAGAAAGAAUGGCUGCCAUCAAGAAAUCAUCUGAUAACAAAUGUUGGCGAGUGUCUGCGGGGAAAAAGGAGCACCGCUCCACUGUUGGUGGGAGUGCCAACCACUGUGGAAAUCAGUGUGGAGAUUCCUCAAAAAGCUAGGGUUGGAAGUUCCAUUCAAUGCAGCUAUUUCCCUCCUGGAUAUUUUCCCAGAAAAAUUGAAAAGAUCAAGUCACAGUGAUGUAUGUGCACCCAUGUUUAUAGAAACGUAAUUUGUAAUAGCUAAAUCUUGGAAACAACCAAGAUGUCCAUCAACCGCAGAAUGGAUGAAAAUAAUGCAGUUUAUACCAUGGAAUAUUACUCAGCUAUAAAAAGGAUGACCUUGAGGCCUUUAUAGGUAAAUAGAGACAACUUGAGACUGUCCUCAUUAGUGAAAUAAAUCAGAUUCAUAUUUGUACAUAUCAUAUCAUCUCUCUGGUUCUACACCAUUUUAUCAGUAUGAGUAUAUGAUUGUCAAUAACAUGCUACGAUACAAAAUAUUUUCAUUACCUCAAGGUCUUUUGUGUUACCCUUUGGUAACCACCCUUACUCUCUUUCAUGAUCUUUGCCUUUCUUACUCUCUUCGCUGGUUUAGCACAGCUACUAAACUGUAUUUCAUUUCUAUAAUUCAAGAAUUUACACAGUGCAGAUGAAAUUAUGCAGCAAGGAGCCCUUUGGGAUUGGCUUUUUCUAAUCAGCUUAAUUCUCUGGAUAUUUAUCCACGCUGAUGAAUGCUGUGGAUAUACCACUGUUUACCUAACCGCCCACCCACCAAAAGAUAUUUGGGUUCUUUCUUGCUUUUAGCUAUUUUCCUGACAAAUAAAUCUGUUAUGAGUAUUCA
This is a long non-coding RNA of Cavia porcellus (domestic guinea pig), 987 nucleotides long. RefSeq lists it as uncharacterized. The transcript is spliced from 2 exons. NCBI's taxonomy places the organism in Eukaryota, Metazoa, Chordata, Mammalia, Rodentia, Caviidae. The record is from RefSeq and is a predicted model, not a curated record.